Molecule: ribosomal RNA, 116 nt
Filed under: Penicillium sp. FF12
Lineage: Eukaryota; Fungi; Ascomycota; Eurotiomycetes; Eurotiales; Aspergillaceae
Also listed under: 7 other names
Description: partial 28S ribosomal RNA
Rfam family: Eukaryotic large subunit ribosomal RNA
Source: RNAcentral
UUGACCUCGGAUCAGGUAGGGAUACCCGCUGAACUUAAGCAUAUCAAUAAGCGGAGGAAAAGAAACCAACAGGGAUUGCCCCAGUAACGGCGAGUGAAGCGGCAAGAGCUCAAAUU